UACGUAGGUGGCAAGCGUUGUCCGGAAUUAUUGGGCGUAAAGCGCGCGCAGGCGGUCCUUUAAGUCUGAUGUGAAAGCCCACGGCUUAACCGUGGAGGGUCAUUGGAAACUGGGGGACUUGAGUACAGAAGAGGAGAGUGGAAUUCCACGUGUAGCGGUGAAAUGCGUAGAGAUGUGGAGGAACACCAGUGGCGAAGGCGACUCUCUGGUCUGUAACUGACACUGAGGCGCGACAGCGUGGGGAGCAAACAGG
This 253-nucleotide ribosomal RNA is filed under the name uncultured bacterium. Its description in RNAcentral is "partial 16S ribosomal RNA". It matches the Rfam family "Bacterial small subunit ribosomal RNA", at positions 524 to 776 of the family's 1533-position model. The record is from RNAcentral.